Molecule: ribosomal RNA, 505 nt
Filed under: uncultured bacterium
Lineage: Bacteria
Description: partial 16S ribosomal RNA
Rfam family: Bacterial small subunit ribosomal RNA
Source: RNAcentral
GACGAACGCUGGCGGCGUGCCUAAUACAUGCAAGUAGAACGCACAGUUUAUACCGUAGCUUGCUACACCAUAGACUGUGAGUUGCGAACGGGUGAGUAACGCGUAGGUAACCUGCCUGGUAGCGGGGGAUAACUAUUGGAAACGAUAGCUAAUACCGCAUAAUAUUAAUUAUUGCAUGAUAAUUAAUUGAAAGGUGCAAUUGCACCACUACCAGAUGGACCUGCGUUGUAUUAGCUAGUAGGUGAGGUAACGGCUCACCUAGGCGACGACACAUAGCCGACCUGAGAGGGUGAUCGGCCACACUGGGACUGAGACACGGCCCAGACUCCUACGGGAGGCAGCAGUAGGGAAUCUUCGGCAAUGGACGAAAGUCUGACCGAGCAACGCCGCGUGAGUGAAGAAGGUUUUCGGAUCGUAAAGCUCUGUUGUAAGAGAAGAACGGGUGUGAGAGUGGAAAGUUCACACUGUGACGGUAUCUUACCAGAAAGAGACGGCUAACUACGUG